Esox lucius (northern pike) is the source of this 1127-nucleotide long non-coding RNA. NCBI's taxonomy places the organism in Eukaryota, Metazoa, Chordata, Actinopteri, Esociformes, Esocidae. The record is from Ensembl.
GUUUGGUGUGUUGUUUUAUCGCGUUAGUGUCUCAUGAUGAUGGGGAUUCACAGAUUGCUGUGCCCCACUGUUUUUCCCUUGUCACGUUGUUGUAACUGAAUCGCCAGUUCAGAUUCAGAAUCUGCCCGUGUUAGGGUUCCUCUGCUUGUUGGACUGCUAACGUACAGUUUUUUCAGAAGGGCGUAAAUCCAAAGGGCUCUGCAGAGUCAAAGAUAAUUUACCAACCUGCACUUCUCAGAGUCGUACAGAUUCUCAUUUCACUGCUCCCUCAACUGUAAAGUCUGGAGAAAGCUGAAUGGGAGGAGCUUGCCUUCCGCCUACCUCGGCCAGCUUGCAGGCUCUCCCAACCGCCACAGGAGUCGCUAGAGCGCGAUGAGACACGGAGAUCCCCGCUUGCCAUCCCUCCCUUACCCAGGAAGUGGCUGAGUCAGUUUGCAUCAUCCAUCUGGGAUGCUCUGCCGCAGCCUGGCCUUGGCUUGAAUUCAGGCAGCCAAUGGAGUGCAGUGCCCCAGAUCACAGGGGUGUUUGGGAAACCAAAGGUUGUAUGUUUUUGAAAGAUUUCCAUGUUAUUGUGCAGGAUUAGUAUCAUCAUGUGCUGAACUCGCUUGCUACUGAUCUUCUGAGGGUCUUCUUGUUGCUGGUCUUCUGAGGGUCUUCUUGUUACUGGUCUUCUGAGGGUCUUCAUGUUACUGGUCUUCUGAGGGUUUUCUUGUUACUGGUCUUCUGAGGGUCUUCUUGUUAAUGGUCUUCUGAGGGUCUUCUUGUUACUGAUCUUCUGAGGGUCUUCUUGUUACUGGUCUUCUAAGGGUUUUCUUGUUACUGGUCUUCAGAGGGUAUUAUUGUUACUGAUCUUCUGAGGGUUUUCUUAUUACUGGUCUUCUGAGGGUCUUCUUGUUACUGGUCUUCUGAGGGUAUUCUUGUUACUGAUCUUCUGAAGGUCUUCUUGUUACUGGUCUUCUAAGGGUUUUCUUGUUACUGGUCUUCUGAGGGUCUUCUUGUUACUGGUCUUCUGAGGGUCUUCUUGUUACUGGUCUUCUGAGGGUCUUCAUGCCUGCCACGUUGAAGAUUGUCUGCCCUGGGAUUCAAGGUUUGUUGCCGAGGGCUGGACAGGAAUGCAUCAGGCUUCG